AAGAGAGCAAGCAAGGAUAGAAGAGGAAGAAAGAAGAGAGCAACAUAGGAGAGAAGAAGAAGAAAGAAGAGAGCAACAUAGGAAAGAAGAGGAAGAAAAAGAGAGAAUAAGAAGAGACAAAGAAAAGAGAGAGGAGGAAGAAAAGAGAGAGCAGGAAGAGAGACUACAAAAGAAAGAGAAGGAAGAAAUUGAAAGGAAGGAAAGGGAAGAAAAGAAAUUGUUGACAAUAUCUCCUACUCUAGAACCCAAAAGGGGAGGUUUUCUAUCCUUUAAUUUUCCUUCAAUUGAAAUUACAUGUUCCAAAUUCAUCUUUUCUUUCCAAAACAUUGCCAUCACAUCUUUUCCCAAGUUGCAAUUUUUAACAUAUGGCAAUCAAAAAGUUGAGUUAGAGUUACCUUCUUGGUUAUCACUAACUCAAGAUAAAAAUAAAUUCUCAAAUGAAGAAUGGUUUCUUUAUAAUCAUCAUAUUGAAAAUUUUAAAAUUAAGAAACCUUCUUCUAAAAAUACUCUUUUAUAUACUUUGGGUCAUAGAAAACUAAUUAGUGUUAUGUUUGAUGCUUAUUGCAGAUUUACUUUUGACCCAGGAGGAAGUUUGUAGAGAGGCAACUAAAAAUAAGUCCUCAGAAGAACCAUCCAGAUUUGAGGACAAAUCCUUUCCAAGAGGGAGGGGAUGAUACACGGGGCCCAAGGCCAAUGUCUUUAGUGUAGUAUUUCUUUUACUUGUAUUAGAGAUGUGUAUAAUGUGUUAGGCAUGGGGUACAUUUAACCCUAUAUAUAGGCUUGCUAACACAUCUUGUAAUUACUUUUGAGCUUAAUGAGAAUAAACUUUUCUAAUUCAGAAAAUUAUUCUCUCUUGAAAGUCAUUGGCUAGAGAGUCCAAAGACCUCUAGCCACCUUCCAAAGCACACUUCUUACUAUUCAUUUUCCAAAUAUUCCACAGUGCUUCUCUCUCAUCCACCGUGGCCACUCCUUCACUGCCACCUAGCACCUUGCCUGCGUCAGCAUUUCACUCUCUCCUCAGUACAUUUUCAUUUCGCGUUUCAGACCUACAUCACUCCUUCAUUUCUUCAGAUUCAUUCUCGCAUCUUCACUCUCGACAGAUAGAGAGCUCCUCACUGUGAUUCAUUCUUCACCAUCACAGAUCCACCAUUGUUGUCGUCUCUCACCGGUAAAACUCGUUCCUCUUCAUAGAUCCCUCCUUCUCCUCCAUUUUGCUAGGUUUUCUACCGAUUAAAAACCAUCAUUCAUCAUCUUCAUCCAUUUUUACCGAUUGAUUCGGUUUUUAGACCGAUUAAACAUCUUCCCAACCUUCGAUCUUCCAUCUCCACCGAUUAAAACACCAUUUCCACCGUUUAACCGGUCCAAAUCCCGUUUCCCCUCUUUUCUAGGGUUCCAUAGGUCAUCCUAGGGUUUUCAGAGUUCUUCAAGUCUCAUAUACAUUCCGCUGCGUGUUUUUCUACCGGAGAAGCUUCGAGGAGGUCGAAUCAUGUUCGCACAGCUCCAAUCAGGCGUUCUCCUCAAGGCGUCUCGUAUCACACUGUUAGUUUUUUUUUUUUGUUUUUUUUUUUGUUUGUAAAGGGCCUCUUAUAAAGUCCAAGUUUGGAAGAGUCCUUGGUGCUCUUUCCAUUCAUGGCAACCUUUCUUGAUUGCUUUAAUUUUAGCAUAGCUAGACAUAGGAGUAGACUUUACUAUUGAAUUACUUCUGUGUUUCACGUUAGGUGUGACCUUUGUCACAAGUAGAGUCCGAACGUUUAGGGGUCCUUAGAGUCCGUUAUCUUUGUCUUUAAGUUGUUUGUUUCUUUUGAGUUUUGUACUUUGAUUUUAAAAGUAAUUUUAAUUUAAAGGAUAUUUAGUAAGUAGCAUAAAACAAAUCUGGCAAGGCAAAGACUUGGUACUUAAGCAACCCUAGUGGUUCACCUCUCUUACCUGAGAUUUGUCUAGUGUGAAAUCAUUAAAUCCUUUAGAUUAGAAGAACUUUCAAGAACAAAGAUGUCUUGUUAUUCAUAUAGUUCCUCUAAUUCAUUUCGUUCAUCUAGGAACUUUAAUUUUGAUAAGCCCAUUAGUUUUAAAGAAAUUAAAAGAGAACAUGAUA
This 2092-nucleotide long non-coding RNA is filed under the name Vigna radiata. Its description in RNAcentral is "long non-coding RNA (VRAD_LNC014458)". The record is from RNAcentral. Lineage: Eukaryota; Viridiplantae; Streptophyta; Magnoliopsida; Fabales; Fabaceae.